Molecule: ribosomal RNA, 1910 nt
Filed under: Cantharellus appalachiensis
Lineage: Eukaryota; Fungi; Basidiomycota; Agaricomycetes; Cantharellales; Hydnaceae
Also listed under: 1 other name
Description: SSU rRNA
Rfam family: Eukaryotic small subunit ribosomal RNA
Source: RNAcentral
UCUGGUUGAUCCUGCCAGUAGUCAUAUGCUUGUCUCAAAGAUUAAGCCAUGCAGGCGUACAAGUUUAAACCCAUUGAGGGUGAAACUGCGAAUGGCUCAAUAGAUCCAGUCAUAAUUUACAUGAUGGUUAGGCGUAUAUGGAUAACUGUGGCAAUUCUAGAGCUAAUACAUGCAUAAUGUCCUUGGACGGACUUAUUCAGGGGUCGCGCUUUCGACCUAAAAUUAAUUGUUAUGACCCAAGAGGGUGCUGGAUAAUUAGACCAAUCAUUAAGGCCUUGGGCCAGUUGAUGCUUCAUUCGAGUGUCUGCCCUAUCAGCUUAGGUUGGUGAGCUAUAGGCUCCCCAUGGCUGCAACGGGUGACGGGGAAUUGGGGUUUGAUUCCGGAGAGGGAGCCUUAGAGAUGGCUACCACAUCCAAGGAAGGCAGCAGGCGCGCAACUUACCCAGUGCCGACUAAGGCGAGGUAGUGACAAUAUUGAGCGGGGCAGAGUGUUGAUUGGGCCUUUGUCAUUGGAAUGAGGACGGAUUAAACAAUCUAUCGAGAAACAUUUGGAGGGCAAGUCUGGUGCCAGCAGCCGCGGUAACUCCAGCUCCAGUAGUGUAUAUUAAUACUGCUGCAGUUAAAAAGCCCGUAGUCUAUGUAGGCUGCGGUGGGGGGCGUAGUGUGCUCUUUUUGACGGUAGGGGGCGUUCGCACUUGCCCAUACCAAACCCGCUGCAGCCUGGCAGUUGGCUCAGGGGGCGUUCCAUGAAUAAUGGGACGUCCCAUGUAGGGGAAGGACAAGUGUUUUACAGUGCCUUGAGGUAAUCAACGUGCUUCAAGCAGGUUUUGACAAGCCUUGCAUGGAUUGCAUGGCAUGCUUAGAGGAGCCGGGGCGCAGGUGAAGAGAGAAUUCAUGAAGGUUGUCUGUUUGGAGUCUCAUUGGUGUAUGCAGAACGCGCUAUGUUCGAGAGGGGCUAGUUUAGACAUCGGUACUGCGAUGAUAGGGGUGAAAUCCAGUGACCAUCUCAUGAUCAGCUGCUGCGAAGGCGGUUGUAUGUCAUGUCCCCUCUGAUAAAGGACUAAGGAUUGGCUCUCAAAGGCGAUCAGAUACCGCUGUAGUCCAAUCAGUAAAUGAUGCCAACUAGACCAAGGGCUUAGAUUCAUGCAGAUAAUUGGCUCUUGGUCUUAGAGAAAUCAAAGUGGAUGGGCUCCGGGGGGAGUAUGGUCGCAAGGCUGAAACUUAAAGGAAUUGACGGAAGGGCACCACAAGGUGUGGAGCCUGCGGCUUAAUUUGACUCAACGCGGGACAACUUACCAGGUCAGGACAUGAGAAGGAUUGACAGAUUAAUAGCUCUUUCAUGAUUUUAUGGGUGGUGGUGCAUGGCCGUUUUUAGUUCGUGGAGUGAUUCGUCAGGUUGAUUCCUUAAACGAGCGAGAUCUUUGUCUGUCAUUGGCCUAGCAGUCCUUGACUUGAACUAGCGAAAAGAUUUGGGCUGGCUAGUGCUCUAUAAGAGACGAUCACUGUCAAAGGUGAUGGAAGUGGAAGCCAAUAACAGGUCUGUGAUGCCCUUAGAUGUCCUGGGCCGCACGCGUGCUACACUGGCUGGCAUAGCGAGAACUUUAAGCCUAUGUCUGAGAGACGGGAGGGCGAACUUUAAAUCCAGUCGUGACGGGGAUAGAGCAUUGGAAUUAUUGCUCUUGAACAAGGAAUACCUAGUAAUCGCGAGUCAUUAUCUCGCGUUGACUCUGUCCCUGCCCUUUGUACACACCGCCCGUCGCUACUACCGAUCGAGUGGCCCAGUGAGGUUCUCGGAUCUACUCCGUCCUUGUGGGUAACCAUCUGGCUGGGGCCAAGAGAUGUUAACCGAACUGGGUUAUUUAGAGGAAGUAAAAGUCGUAACAAGGUUUCCGUAGGUGAACCUGCGGAAG